AAGCGUGCGCAGGCGGUUUUGUAAGACUGUCGUGAAAUCCCCGGGCCUCAACCUGGGAAUGGCGAUGGUGACUGCAAGGCUAGAGUUUGGCAGAGGGGGGUAGAAUUCCACGUGUAGCAGUGAAAUGCGUAGAUAUGUGGAGGAACACCGAUGGCGAAGGCAGCCCCCUGGGUCAAAACUGACGCUCAUGCACGAAAGCGUGGGGAGCAAACAGGAUUAGAUACCCUAGU
Molecule: ribosomal RNA, 230 nt
Filed under: uncultured bacterium
Lineage: Bacteria
Description: partial 16S ribosomal RNA
Rfam family: Bacterial small subunit ribosomal RNA
Source: RNAcentral